This is a long non-coding RNA of Cydia fagiglandana, 394 nucleotides long. RefSeq lists it as uncharacterized. The record is from RefSeq and is a predicted model, not a curated record. NCBI's taxonomy places the organism in Eukaryota, Metazoa, Arthropoda, Insecta, Lepidoptera, Tortricidae. The transcript has 2 exons.
UUACUUUAUAAUGCCUUUGUCAGAUCGCAUUUAGAAUUCGCUUCGGUCGUUUGGAGUCCUCAAUAUGCAGUGCAUAUUAAUGCCAUUGAAAAAAUCCAAAAUAAAUUUAUUAAAUGGUUGAAAUAUAGAUUCAAAUUGUUUGAUAGUGAUAACAUGGUAAGUCUCCAGCUGCGCAGGGAGCAAAAAGAUCAAAUUUUUCUGUUUAAAUUACUAAACCAUCUAAUCGAGUCGCAAUAUCUUAUUAGCAAUAUUUCAUAUAGAUGUCCUAAUUCCCGAACUAGAUCCAAAGCUUUAUUUGCCAUUCCAUUCUAGCAUGCUCUACGUAUAACUCUAAAUAUUCCAAUUUUGAUGUGUUCAACAUGAAGCUGGGUAAAUUUGUCACCUCAAUGAAAAA